Protopterus annectens (West African lungfish) is the source of this 106-nucleotide small nuclear RNA. Lineage: Eukaryota; Metazoa; Chordata; Ceratodontiformes; Protopteridae. The record is from RefSeq and is a predicted model, not a curated record.
UGGGUAUUCAUAAGUUCAUUAAAAAACAAAUUCAGUGAUAUAGAGAAGAAUAGUAUGGCCCCUGUGCAAGGAUGACACACAAAGUUGUGAAAUGUUCCAUAUGCUA